This 73-nucleotide transfer RNA is filed under the name Mustela putorius furo (domestic ferret). It matches the Rfam family "tRNA". From Rfam's summary of the family: Transfer RNA (tRNA) molecules are approximately 80 nucleotides in length. The record is from Rfam by way of RNAcentral. Lineage: Eukaryota; Metazoa; Chordata; Mammalia; Carnivora; Mustelidae.
ACCUGGCAGUUUCAGUUGGUAUAAAAUGUGACUCUUGAUCUCAGGGUUGUGAGUUCAAGCCCCAUGUUGGGUG